This 235-nucleotide long non-coding RNA is filed under the name Gossypium raimondii (Peruvian cotton). RNAcentral's name for it is "long non-coding RNA (GRAI_LNC006753)". The record is from RNAcentral. Lineage: Eukaryota; Viridiplantae; Streptophyta; Magnoliopsida; Malvales; Malvaceae.
GAAGUGAUGGUUAAAUAUGAUCCACAAUUUUGGUUGUGGUUGUAAAUAUGAAUGUGACUUAGGAUUUAGUCGACAGUCUGUGAACAUGUCUUUAUGGUUAAGAAAAGAAGUCUCUGUAUGUCUGGUAUUCAAUUUGUCUGUUUCAAUUGCUUUCAUUGUGCUGUCUGUUAAAAGAUACAACUACUUUGAGCUUUUUAGGUAAUUCCCAGAUUUAUUUUAUUAUCCAAGUCAUCAU